Molecule: ribosomal RNA, 386 nt
Filed under: Manis sp.
Lineage: Eukaryota; Metazoa; Chordata; Mammalia; Pholidota; Manidae
Description: partial 12S ribosomal RNA
Rfam family: Bacterial small subunit ribosomal RNA
Source: RNAcentral
GCUUAGCCUUAAACCUAAAUARUUAAUUAAACAAAAUUAUUCGCCAGAGUACUACUAGCAAUAGCUUGAAACUCAAAGGACUUGGCGGUGCUUCAUAUCCCUCUAGAGGAGCCUGUCCUAUAAACGAUAAACCCCGAUAAACCUCACCAAUCCUAGCUAAUGCAGCCUAUAUACCGCCAUCCUCAGCAAACCCUAAUAAAGGAACCAUAGUAAGCAAGAUCAUUGAAACAUAAAAACGUUAGGUCAAGGUGUAGCUUAUGGAUUGGGAAGAGAUGGGCUACAUUUUCUAAAACAGAAUAAGACGAAUACCCUUAUGAAAAUAAGGGUUAAAGGAGGAUUUAGUAGUAAGACAAGAAUAGAGAGCUUGACUGAAUUAGGCCCUGAAG